AUUAACAUGCAAGCAUUAAUAUAUCCUAUAAAGGGGGCUAACGUUCUGGAGCUAAGGAACAAGCUAGUACAGAACAAUAGGCAGAGCAAGAAGUUUAGCCACGAGCUUGUUGUCUGCGUUUGUCCACAGUUGGAAUAAAGACAUCAGUUGAAGUACAUUAAAACUGUGGUGAUACCUUGGCACUUAAGGAUAUCACAACACGCACACACACACACACAGACAGGCAGGCAGAUAGACAGACAUACUAUCCCUCUUUGUUAUUACCUGUCUUUCUUUCUGUUGUACAUGGAAAACCACUGAGAUGAAGCCACCCCCCUCUGAGUGAGUGGUGAUCUCAUGAUAAGCCAACAGUAGGCCAUAACUUCGUUAUUAAUUUCAAUGGCCAAAGAAACUAGUUUGUGUUCAUAUGGUGAUGCUGUGUGCUGAUGCUAAUCAAACAUUAUUUUGUGUUUAUCAGAUAAUUCAGGGAUUGCUGCAUCUCAGUGCCUUCACGUACAACGUGGUGGACACCAUUUACCUAAUGGAUUAUUACACCGCAGGUGUACUUUUAUUUGGUGACAGAGCUACUACACGUCGCCACACUUUACCUAAGGUAAACUUCGAUAACUUUGACGGAAUCCUGUCAUUUGUCCACGUGAACAAAAAUCACUGGAACAUGCUGGUAUGUUGAUUCAUUAAUAUUCAUUCAUUCAAAUGUGGGUUUUCACAUAGUGAAAUAAAGUAUUGCGGCGAGUAUCAAGGUCAUGGUCAAGGUUGCUUUAUUCAUACCCUUGGGUAAAUUUGGUUUGCAUGUGUAUCGAUCGCCACAUGCAGCGAUGGAUACUCAUCAACUUCUCAAUACAGUAUUUUUCCGAAACUGUACUUGGCUUAUUAUUUCAUCCACUCAACUCAUUUGGCGACUGUGAAAUUGGCAUAGGGAAACUUUGAUUCUAAGUUUACUUUGACCCAUCACCUUUUUUCUUGCUUUGCAUGCACUCUCCCUGCUAUUUCUGGGAAUUGCAUCUCUAGUUAAAGAAUACCCUCUCUUUUUUCUCAGUACAUUCAUGCAAAGUCUGGUACUGUGUACCAAAUGGAUCCCUCACCAGCAUCCUCUGAGCUUGAGGACUCUACCCAUGCGGCUCAGAGACUACAGUAAAUAUUCAAGCUAGGAUUCUAAACAUUAAAAUGUCAAUCAUGUUUACUUUUAUUCUACAAUGGCAGCUGUGGUGUUUUGAAGAUAUUUCCAUAUACCUUAUAAUUGAAUACAAACUUUGCUAAAUUGUAUCUGUGGAUGGAAAAUGUUUUGGUAGCACUUAAAGAAAAGUAUCACAUUUCUUCAGGGAAUACUUGAAGAUUAGAAAACAUCAGGGGAAAACUGACUGGGUGGAUGUGAAGUGGAAAGGAGGAGUGAUGCCCCACCCAGUGCAAAUGGAUGGUUGCAGCUGUGGUGUCAUUGUUGUUGAAGUAAGUUGAUAUAUGUAGCAUAGAGGAAACAUGAUGUUUCUUUAAUUUUUGUGAUGAUGGAGAUAAGCUUACAUUUGGGUGUUUCCACAGAUAUACAAGAUGAUUUCAAAGGAUAAGUUCACUAUUGUGUACUUUGAGCCCCCUUUCUCGGUUGGCUAGGAUGAAAUAGAAUGGUUGACACUGAAAUGUUGACGUUUGGUCCUGUCUCUGGGUAUUUGGCUCAUUUAGAAUCGCCCCUGCCUGCUUCAGAAUGGCUGCCUAUGGGCAUUUACGAACCAUGAAUGCCCAUAGGCAACCAUUUAGAAGCUGGCAGCAGUGAUUCUAAAACCUCCCCACCAAGCAUGUGUUGACAAAUGGUUUAGUUUUCUAUUAAAAGAGAAAGACAAUCACUUUAAUGUUGUUAAUUCAGAUGGCCAGAGCAGUGAUGGAAGCCUUCCCUGAGUUCCCCAAAAUGAACUUCUCAACAAAAAGGAGAGCCAUGGAAGAGGCGAGGAGAGAUAUGGCUCUCCAAGUCCUUGAAUCAUCAGGUAUACAAUGCAGUAUACAUCUUUUUUUGAAUAACUUAAAGGCAUUCCAAAUAUAUUCUGAUUAAGGGCCCAAUUUUGAGAAUGAUAUGGUAACAGAAUUGGUGAAUGUGAUUGGCGAAUGCAAUUUCCCUUAGCCACAGGCCUUGCCCAUAUCAGAGUCUCCACCGAUUACCUCUUGCGGGUUUAAAAAAAGGCACAUACCAUUUGCCGAUAAAAUCCCCAAAAUUGGGCCCUAAAUAUGUCAUGCAAAUACACUUUAUUUCAGUCUUUGAUGAGGAGACUUGUUCGAUGUGUGGAGCUGACAAGCCCCCUGGACAAGCACCUCCCGUUACAGACUGGGUGAGUUGUUGUGAGCAGCACAUACAUUUUGUAACGUAAUGUGACAUACAGUGUUGGUAGUAACUAGUAACAAAGUUAAUUAACAAAGAUAAUUCAAUUUUGAUAGCAAUAUGUAAAAAGGCCAAGAAAGUUGAAGGGGUUCAAUGUUCACAGAAAACUUUCUUUGAUUCAAACUUAACCUUUGCUAUAAUCUGCUGGUUUGGUGACCUGAGUCUAACAAACAAAAACAGGGUUUGUUCUACUCGGUCUAUCCUCAGAACAACGAGAGGCAAUGUUGAUAUUAUGACCAAAAGGGGGCGUGCCUCCGUGAAAUGCCGCAAGACAGCUGGGAGAUGUAGCCUAGGCCUACACCUUACGACUCGUACGGCCAGUUCCAUACAACUGGAUCGCGGCAUAACUGUCCUUCUCUUCCUUUCUUCAAAGCUCAUCUCAAGACCUUUCUGUUUAACUUCUCUCCCACUCCAAACACAUAGCUCUAUCCUCUAGACUAGAGGCUCCCUUUGUUUAGUUUAGUUUUUCUCUUUUUUUGUAUUGUUGUUUGUUUGUGGUUGUAUUUUCAUUUCCACUAUGUGAAGUGACCUUGGGUUUGAGAAGGGAGCUAUAUAAAUGGAAAUUAUUAUUAUCACUAUUAUUAUUAUUUACCUGUUUUGAAACCAAAUUGCCCCGUAAGGACAUUUCAGCUCAAUUAAAUUCACCUGGAGGGUCAGGUAACGCAAAAGUAACAAGUGACAUAAGGCAUUACUCCACACAAGUAACGUAAUGAAGUAACUUCCCCAAUGCUGGUGACAUACCACUUAAGCCUAAGUGUCCUACCAAGUGACAAAGUCAUGUACAUGAAUGAAUCAUUAAUUGUUUUUUCAAUUCAACAGAUCCAGUGUGAUAAUUGUGACCGGUGGUUCCAUAACCUUUGCUUGAACAUGGACCAAAAUAAGUUAAAGGAACUCAAGAAAAGGCAAUGGCUGUGUGUUUUAUGCCGAUGACAAGGUUGAGGAAAAUUGUGCCUCGUCCAAGUGCCAGGUUUUGUUUAGAAAUGUGAUUAAAAAAAACGUAAAAGGCGUGUUAACAUCAGAAGAUGUGGAAAGCAUGAAUGGGGAGGGGAGACACACACACACACACACACACACACACACACACACACACACACACACACACACACACACACACACACACACACACACACACACACACACACACACAUUUCCAUUUCAUCUAUUCUCUCUGGUUACAGCCAUAUACACUUUGAUAUUGGAUCCCUUCCACUUACUUUAACCCUAGGCUAUACCGUAAGGACUGAAGAUCAAUGCCUGAUUACCAAAAGAUUCUGUUGAGUCAGUGUAUAAAACACAACAGCUGCGUUGAUUGAGAAACGCUUUACACCAAUACUGUGCAUAGUCUGAUUCAUUGCCAUGGAUUGCAAGAAGGAAAUAUUACAGAAAGGUCUGAAGUUAAAAUAUAAUUUGCAAGUUCACAUAAUGAAGUGGGAAAACAAAUGAAGGUGUGUUUGAUUAGUAUAUCAUGAAUGGAAUUCUUAAAAUAUUUAAAGAAAAUUGGAGGUGCAAAAUAUUAAUUUUUAAGGAGGUGUGUGUUGUUAUUACCAUAUUGUAGGACAGGUCCACAUUGGUCUGGGGCCUCUGGGUCCCAUAACUCGGAAGCUAUUGAGCAAAAAGCAAUUUCCCAUAGGAAACUAAUGGGAUUCUUAAAAUAUUCAAAUAAAAUUGGAGGUGCAAAAUAUUAAUUUUUAGUGAGGUGUGUGUUGUUAUUACCAUAUUGUAGGACAGGUCCACAUUGGUCUGGGGCCUCUGGGUCCCAUAACUCGGAAGCUAUUG
This is a long non-coding RNA of Gadus morhua (Atlantic cod), 4135 nucleotides long. Lineage: Eukaryota; Metazoa; Chordata; Actinopteri; Gadiformes; Gadidae. The record is from Ensembl.